Molecule: ribosomal RNA, 521 nt
Filed under: uncultured bacterium
Lineage: Bacteria
Description: bacterial SSU rRNA
Rfam family: Bacterial small subunit ribosomal RNA
Source: RNAcentral
GAUGAACGCUAGCGGCAGGCUUAAUACAUGCAAGUCGAACGGCAAGGAUUUUUCGGAAUCCCUAGAGUGGCGCACGGGUGAGUAACACGUACACAACAUGCCCUAUAUUGGGAGAUAGCAUCGGGAAACUGGUGGUAAUACCCCAUAGUGUUAGUGAAAGGCAUCUUUUACUAACUAAAGAUUUAUUGAUAUAGGAUUGGUGUGCGUCCCAUUAGCUAGUUGGUAGGGUAACGGCCUACCAAGGCGACGAUGGGUAGCUGGCGUGAGAGCGCGACCAGCCACACUGGAACUGAGACACGGUCCAGACUCCUACGGGAGGCAGCAGUAGGGAAUUUUGGACAAUGGGCGCAAGCCUGAUCCAGCCAUUCCGCGUGCAGGAUGAAGGCCUUCGGGUUGUAACUAGCUUUGUUACGGUAACGAAACGGACGAGACGUCUAAUACAGUUGUCUAAUGACGGUACCGUAACGAAUAAGACACCGGACCGUAACUAACGUUGCCACGCAGACCGCCGGUAAGUAACG